CAAAACGAAAGAAGACAGAUGAUGACAGUGAUACAAGUCCAAAGGCGUCCUCUAAGAGGAAGAAGUCUGAAAAAGCUACCAAGGCCUCCACCUCUACCCCUUCAAAGUCUGCAUCAAAAGAGAAGCCAGGUUUGGAUACUGUCCUCUUUUUCUUUAUCUUCCACUAAGAUGAUUGCUUAGGUAGAAUACAUCAUGUGUGGGAGAGUGUAGGGUACUUUGUUUGCAGAAGCUAGCCAAAGCUAAUAUUGCUGUCACUAAUGUCUUUUAACACCAUCUUAAUCUGUGGGUUUGUGCCUAUGCUAGAAGUUAAAGGAGCUGGAAAAGGGAAAGAAAAAACCAAAGGGCCAAGUGAUAAAGUGCUGAAGAAUGCAAUCAUUAAGAUACUGAAAAGGGUCGACUUUAAUACGGUGAGUUCAUAUCUCAGCCUUUAAUAUUCGAGACAGUUUUAACUACUACUUGGGAUUCUUCAGAACAAACUUUUUGGUUGCAUAAAAAUUCCUGCAUUUUCUGAAGGCUGAUUAGAGUUUCUUGUAAAAUAUCUAUACAAACUGUGAAUUAUCUACUUAUAUAGAUAACCUUAUAAGAUCAUUGUUGUUCUUCUACAGGCUACAUUCACGGACAUCAUCAAAGAACUUGGUAUGAACAGAUUGGUUUCACUCUAUCAUUAUUUUCUUCAGUGUUAUCUUGUCAGAUUCUGAUUAUGUAUGGUAACACACAUUGUUUCACCUAUAUUUCAGGGAAGGAGUUCAAAGAUGAUCUCACCCCAAGAAAGUUAUCUAUAAAGCUGAUGAUCCAAAGUGAGCUCACCAAAUUAGCAGAAGAGGCUGAAGAAGAAAAGAUAGAAGAUGAGAAAGAAGAGGAUGCAGAGAAGAAGAAAGCAGGAGGGUCUACUGGUACUGAGAAAGAGAAAGAAGAGGAUGCAGAGAAGGAGAAAGCAGAAGGGUCUGCUGGUAGUGUGAAGGAGAAAGAAGAGGAAACAGUGAAGGAGAAAGCAGGAGGGUCUGCUGGUAGUGUGAAGGAGAAAGAAGAGGAAACAGUGAAGGAGAAAGCAGGAGGGUCUGCUGGUAGUGUGAAGGAGAAAGAUGAGGAAACAGUGAAGGAGAAAGCAGGAGGGUCUGCUGGUAGUGUGAAGGAGAAAGAUGAGGAAACAGUGAAGGAGAAAGCAGGAGGGUCUGCUGGUAGUGAGAAGGAGAAAGAAGAGGAAGCAGUGAAGGAGAAAGCAGGAGUGUCUGCUGAUGGUGAGGAGGUGAAAUCCUAAACUCCUUUCUGAUCACAUGGCACAUACUGAGACUCUCUCCCCCUUAGCCUAAAUGUUGUUGUAUGAUGCUUAGUAGAC
This 1336-nucleotide long non-coding RNA is filed under the name Brassica rapa (field mustard). RNAcentral describes it as "long non-coding RNA (BRAP_LNC006041)". Lineage: Eukaryota; Viridiplantae; Streptophyta; Magnoliopsida; Brassicales; Brassicaceae. The record is from RNAcentral.